CCACUCAUUGCCGCCUUCGCUUCCCCCUUCAUCUCCACAUAAAUAUCUUUCUCUCGUUCUUUAUCUCUCUCAGUUUCUCUCUCUCUUUACACCACCAUCGUCUUCACAUAGAUUUUUACACAACCACCAUUGCCGCUCGUUGCCACCGCCGCGUCCUUCGUCUCCAGGUAAGGUUUUUUCUCACUUUUUUGUUACUUCUCUCGAUUUCUCAAAAAAAAAAAAUUCAGAUCUGUCCACCACCAACAUUGUAGCCGCCUCCUCCACUCUCUCUUUCAUUCACCAUCGUUGUUGCCACCUCCCCUCACUCCCUUUCGUUAUUUUCUGACUUUUUUUCUUUUUUUUCUCCCAGAUCUGAAGCAGCAGAAUUAACGUGACUAUAGUCUGGUUUGAAUAUGACUAUUGCUGAUUCACUGGAUUAGUGAUUAAUUAAUUUCUCGUAUGUCACGCGAAUCACCAAUACGAGUUUUUUUCUAAUUUCUCCUCGCAGCCCGUCUAGAAUUUCUCCAUUACACAAAACCAAAUUGAUCGAAGAUGCAUUUAUUUUAAUAUUGUGCUACAGUCGAGGAAUCGACGAUGGAAGGAAGAGGUGGAGAAGUGGAUACAGAUCAACUGGACGGCGAUUGAAGGGUUAGGGCUGCAUUUAGCAAUUGAAAUAAGGAGAAUCAAUUUUUGAAGUUAGAGAGAGAAGAAGUGAAUGUAAAAAUGAAGAAGGAAUGAAGAAGAAGAAGGAGGCUAUCUUCAUAAAAGUAAGAGUAAAAAUGUUAUUGAACUGUAAUUUUUAACCAUUCUUUUAUUUUAUUUUAUUUCUCUUGUCAAUUUCGCCAAACGAGACAAUUCAAUUUUGCUGAAGAAAUGGU
RNAcentral lists this long non-coding RNA (857 nucleotides) under Erythranthe guttata (spotted monkey flower). RNAcentral describes it as "long non-coding RNA (EGUT_LNC000629)". Lineage: Eukaryota; Viridiplantae; Streptophyta; Magnoliopsida; Lamiales; Phrymaceae. The record is from RNAcentral.